This 25-nucleotide microRNA is filed under the name Gallus gallus (chicken). RNAcentral's name for it is "gga-miR-1625-5p". Lineage: Eukaryota; Metazoa; Chordata; Aves; Galliformes; Phasianidae. The record is from miRBase by way of RNAcentral.
UGGACCAGGGCUCUUCCUGCUGGCU